UGCCAGACUCCUACGGGAGGCAGCAGUGGGGGAUAUUGCACAAUGGGGGGAACCCUGAUGCAGCGACGCCGCGUGGGUGAAGGAGUGCUUCGGCAUGUAAAGCCCUAUCGGCAGGGAAGAAGCAAGACGGUACCUGACUAAGAAGCCCCGGCUAACUACGUGCCAGCAGCCGCGGUAAUACGUAGGGGGCAAGCGUUAUCCGGAUUUACUGGGUGUAAAGGGAGCGUAGACGGCGAUGCAAGCCAGAUGUGAAAGCCCGGGGCUCAACCCCGGGACUGCAUUUGGAACUGUAUAGCUAGAGUGUCGGAGAGGCAGGCGGAAUUCCUAGUGUAGCGGUGAAAUGCGUAGAUAUUAGGAGGAACACCAGUGGCGAAGGCGGCCUGCUGGACGAUGACUGACGUUGAGGCUCGGAAGCGUGGGGAGCAAACAGGAUUAGAUACCCCUGUAGG
This 449-nucleotide ribosomal RNA is filed under the name uncultured bacterium. RNAcentral's name for it is "bacterial SSU rRNA". It matches the Rfam family "Bacterial small subunit ribosomal RNA", at positions 329 to 794 of the family's 1533-position model. The record is from RNAcentral.